UACGAAGGGGGCUGGCGUUGCUCGGAAUCACUGGGCGUAAAGGGUGCGUAGGCGGGUCUUUAAGUCAGGGGUGAAAUCCUGGAGCUCAACUCCAGAACUGCCUUUGAUACUGAGGAUCUUGAGUUCGGGAGAGGUGAGUGGAACUGCGAGUGUAGAGGUGAAAUUCGUAGAUAUUCGCAAGAACACCAGUGGCGAAGGCGCCUCAUUGGCCGAUAACUGACACUGAGCUGCGAAAGCAAGGGGAGCAAACAGG
Molecule: ribosomal RNA, 253 nt
Filed under: uncultured bacterium
Lineage: Bacteria
Description: partial 16S ribosomal RNA
Rfam family: Bacterial small subunit ribosomal RNA
Source: RNAcentral